Triticum aestivum (bread wheat) is the source of this 383-nucleotide long non-coding RNA. RefSeq lists it as uncharacterized. The record is from RefSeq and is a predicted model, not a curated record. The transcript has 3 exons. Lineage: Eukaryota; Viridiplantae; Streptophyta; Magnoliopsida; Poales; Poaceae.
AUGCUCGCAUUAGCCAAAUUGAGAAUGAUACUACCUCAAUCAUAUCCCCUGAAGAAACCGAAAAGCUGUUACAAAUGAAGGGGGUGGUUCCUGUUGGACGUGCAGCCUCAUGGUUAGCUCGUGUAGCAGAAAAAUUUGUAGGGCGCCGAAAGGUGCAUGUCCCACUUAAUGUACACCAAAACCAUUGGAUGCUAAUGAUGUUUAAUUUUGACAAAAAAGAAAUUCAGACUCUGAACUUCAUGAAUUAUCAUUGCGAGAAGACCAAGGAAGAUUCUCUUGUGGACUCGAUUCAGUUCUGCAUCGACGAAGCUGUCAAGAAUGGGUUGAUAUCACCAGCUAAGAACAUCAAUUUUGCCGAAUGGACCAAAAAACGCUAUGAGAAC